Molecule: unclassified non-coding RNA, 443 nt
Filed under: Zea mays
Lineage: Eukaryota; Viridiplantae; Streptophyta; Magnoliopsida; Poales; Poaceae
Description: misc RNA Zm00001eb139020
Source: RNAcentral
AGGAUAAAAAUCGCGCGCACCCGGCCUGAGCUCCUGCGCGUCUUCUUCUCCGAUCUUCCUGCGCUCGCUCCGCAUUGAAGCUCCCUGCUCUCUUCCCUGUCCGAGCGCGCGCUCCUGCUGCUUGCUUCCCCCGAUUCUCCAGUUCGAGCUCCUCUACCGCGCGCAUCUCUGCUGGCCGCAGCCGGCUCCUUGCGCCGUCCAUGGCUGCGCCCCUGGCUCGGAUUCCAACGCCCCGCUGCUUGCCGGUGCUCGCCACACGCGCUGUGGUCUCCUAUUUCUUCCAGCGCGUCCAGCCCUGCCAUGGACGCCGGUGUCCUCUGCUCGGCCGGAGCUCUGCUCCCCCAGCUCCUCUGCGCGUCUUCUUCCCUGCGCACGGCCUGUCCCAGCUCCUGCGCGCGUUCCUGUGCUCGCCCAGCCGUCGAGCUUCCUUGCGCACGCGUGCU